Molecule: transfer RNA, 82 nt
Filed under: Oxynema mangrovii CENA135
Lineage: Bacteria; Bacillati; Cyanobacteriota; Cyanophyceae; Oscillatoriales; Oscillatoriaceae
Also listed under: 2 other names
Description: tRNA-Leu
Rfam family: tRNA
About the family: Transfer RNA (tRNA) molecules are approximately 80 nucleotides in length. Their secondary structure includes four short double-helical elements and three loops (D, anti-codon, and T loops). Further hydrogen bonds mediate the characteristic L-shaped molecular structure. tRNAs have two regions of fundamental functional importance: the anti-codon, which is responsible for specific mRNA codon recognition, and the 3' end, to which the tRNAs corresponding amino acid is attached (by aminoacyl-tRNA synthetases). tRNAs cope with the degeneracy of the genetic code in two manners: having more than one tRNA (with a specific anti-codon) for a particular amino acid; and 'wobble' base-pairing, i.e. permitting non-standard base-pairing at the 3rd anti-codon position.
Source: RNAcentral
GGGCGAGUGGCGGAAUUGGUAGACGCACCACACUCAAAAUGUGGCGACUCCGGUCUUGCGAGUUCGAGUCUCGCCUCGCCCA